UGGUCCAGACUUUGAUUAUGGCUCAAGACGAACGCUGGCGGCGCGCCUAACACAUGCAAGUCGAACGAGCGAGAGAGAGCUUGCUUUCUUGAGCGAGUGGCGAACGGGUGAGUAACGCGUGAGGAACCUGCCUCAAAGAGGGGGACAACAGUUGGAAACGACUGCUAAUACCGCAUAAGCCCACAGGUCGGCAUCGACCAGAGGGAAAAGGAGCAAUCCGCUUUGAGAUGGCCUCGCGUCCGAUUAGCUAGUUGGUGAGGUAAUGGCCCACCAAGGCGACGAUCGGUAGCCGGACUGAGAGGUUGAACGGCCACAUUGGGACUGAGACACGGCCCAGACUCCUACGGGAGGCAGCAGUGGGGAAUAUUGCACAAUGGGGGAAACCCUGAUGCAGCGACGCCGCGUGGAGGAAGAAGGUCUUCGGAUUGUAAACUCCUGUUGUUGAGGAAGAUAAUGACGGUACUCAACAAGGAAGUGACGGCUAACUACGUGCCAGCAGCCGCGGUAAAACGUAGGUCACAAGCGUUGUCCGGAAUUACUGGGUGUAAAGGGAGCGCAGGCGGGAAGACGAGUUGGAAGUGAAAUCUAUGGGCUCAACCCAUAAACUGCUUUCAAAACUGUUUUUCUUGAGUAGUGCAGAGGUAGGCGGAAUUCCCGGUGUAGCGGUGGAAUGCGUAGAUAUCGGGAGGAACACCAGUGGCGAAGGCGGCCUACUGGGCACCAACUGACGCUGAGGCUCGAAAGUGUGGGUAGCAAACAGGAUUAGAUACCCUGGUAGUCCACACCGUAAACGAUGAUUACUAGGUGUUGGAGGAUUGACCCCUUCAGUGCCGCAGUUAGCACAAUAAGUAAUCCACCUGGGGAGUACGUCCGCAAGGUUGCAACUCAAAGGAAUUGACGGA
RNAcentral lists this ribosomal RNA (902 nucleotides) under uncultured organism. RNAcentral describes it as "bacterial SSU rRNA". It matches the Rfam family "Bacterial small subunit ribosomal RNA", at positions 1 to 917 of the family's 1533-position model. The record is from RNAcentral.